This 497-nucleotide ribosomal RNA is filed under the name uncultured bacterium. RNAcentral describes it as "partial 16S ribosomal RNA". It matches the Rfam family "Bacterial small subunit ribosomal RNA", at positions 28 to 507 of the family's 1533-position model. The record is from RNAcentral.
GAUGAACGCUGGCGGCGUGCCUAAUACAUGCAAGUCGAGCGAACGGACGAGAAGCUUGCUUCUCUGAUGUUAGCGGCGGACGGGUGAGUAACACGUGGAUAACCUACCUAUGAGACUGGGAUAACUUCGGGAAACCGGAGCUAAUACCGGAUGAUAUUUUGAACCGCAUGGUUCAAAAGUGAAAGACGGUCUUGCUGUCACUUAUAGAUGGAUCCGCGCUGCAUUAGCUAGUUGGUAAGGUAACGGCUUACCAAGGCAACGAUGCAUAGCCGACCUGAGAGGGUGGUCGGCCACACUGGAACUGAGACACGGUCCAGACUCCUACGGGAGGCAGCAGUAGGGAAUCUUCCGCAAAGGGCGGAAGCCUGACGGAGCAACGCCGCGUGAGUGAUGAAGGUCUUCGGAUCGUAAAACUCUGUUAUUAGGGAAGAACAUAUGUGUAAGUAACUGUGCACAUCUUGACGGUACCUAAUCAGAAAGCCACGGCUAACUACGUG